UACGGGGGGGGCAAGCGUUGUUCGGAAUUACUGGGCGUAAAGGGCUCGUAGGCGGCCAACUAAGUCAGACGUGAAAUCCCUCGGCUUAACCGGGGAACUGCGUCUGAUACUGGUUGGCUUGAGGUUGGGAGAGGGAUGCGGAAUUCCAGGUGUAGCGGUGAAAUGCGUAGAUAUCUGGAGGAACACCGGUGGCGAAGGCGGCAUCCUGGACCAAUUCUGACGCUGAGGAGCGAAAGCCAGGGGAGCGAACGGG
This 253-nucleotide ribosomal RNA is filed under the name uncultured bacterium. RNAcentral's name for it is "partial 16S ribosomal RNA". It matches the Rfam family "Bacterial small subunit ribosomal RNA", at positions 524 to 776 of the family's 1533-position model. The record is from RNAcentral.